GGCUCAGGACGAACGCUGGCGGCGUGCCUAAUACAUGCAAGUCGAACGCAUUUUCUUUCACCGUAGCUUGCUACACCGAAAGAAAAUGAGUGGCGAACGGGUGAGUAACACGUGGGUAACCUGCCCAUCAGCGGGGGAUAACACUUGGAAACAGGUGCUAAUACCGCAUAAUUCCAUYUACCGCAUGGUAGAUGGAUGAAAGGCGCUUUUGCGUCACUGAUGGAUGGACCCGCGGUGCAUUAGCUAGUUGGUGGGGUAACGGCCUACCAAGGCUGCGAUGCAUAGCCGACCUGAGAGGGUGAUCGGCCACACUGGGACUGAGACACGGCCCAGACUCCUACGGGAGGCAGCAGUAGGGAAUCUUCGGCAAUGGACGCAAGUCUGACCGAGCAACGCCGCGUGAGUGAAGAAGGUUUUCGGAUCGUAAAACUCUGUUGUUAGAGAAGAACAAGGAUGAGAGUGGAAAGU
RNAcentral lists this ribosomal RNA (468 nucleotides) under Enterococcus cecorum. Its description in RNAcentral is "bacterial SSU rRNA". It matches the Rfam family "Bacterial small subunit ribosomal RNA", at positions 21 to 465 of the family's 1533-position model. Lineage: Bacteria; Bacillati; Bacillota; Bacilli; Lactobacillales; Enterococcaceae. The record is from RNAcentral.